GAUGAAGAACGUAGCGAAAUGCGAUACGUAAUGUGAAUUGCAGAAUUCAGUGAAUCAUCGAGUCUUUGAACGCACAUUGCGCCCCCUGGUAUUCCGGGGGGCAUGCCUGUCCGAGCGUCAUUGCUGCCCUCAAGCACGGCUUGUGUGUUGGGCCUCCGUCCUCCUCCCGGGGGACGGGCCCGAAAGGCAGCGGCGGCACCGCGUCCGGUCCUCGAGCGUAUGGGGCUUCGUCACCCGCUCUUGUAGGCCCGGCCGGCGCUUGCCGACACAUCAAUCUUUUUUCCAGGUUGACCUCGGAUCAGGUAGGGAUACCCGCUGAACUUAAGCAUAUCAAGCGGAGGA
Molecule: unclassified non-coding RNA, 342 nt
Filed under: soil metagenome
Description: partial contains 5.8S ribosomal RNA, internal transcribed spacer 2, and large subunit ribosomal RNA
Rfam family: 5.8S ribosomal RNA (bases 1-120)
Source: RNAcentral